GGGGGAAUCUUAGACAAUGGGCGCAAGCCUGAUCUAGCCAUGCCGCGUGAGUGAUGAAGGCCCUAGGGUCGUAAAGCUCUUUCGCCAGGGAUGAUAAUGACAGUACCUGGUAAAGAAACCCCGGCUAACUCCGUGCCAGCAGCCGCGGUAAUACGGAGGGGGUUAGCGUUGUUCGGAAUUACUGGGCGUAAAGCGCGCGUAGGCGGACCAGAAAGUUGGGGGUGAAAUCCCGGGGCUCAACCCCGGAACGGCCUCCAAAACUCCUGGUCUUGAGUUCGAGAGAGGUGAGUGGAAUUCCGAGUGUAGAGGUGAAAUUCGUAGAUAUUCGGAGGAACACCAGUGGCGAAGGCGGCUCACUGGCUCGAUACUGACGCUGAGGUGCGAAAGUGUGGGGAGCAAACAGGAUUAGAUACCCUGGUAGUCCACACCGUAAACGAUGAAUGCCAGUCGUCGGGUAGCAUGCUGCUCGGUGACACACCUAACGGAUUAAGCAUUCCGCCUGGGGAGUACGGUCGCAAGAUUA
This 523-nucleotide ribosomal RNA is filed under the name uncultured bacterium. RNAcentral's name for it is "bacterial SSU rRNA". It matches the Rfam family "Bacterial small subunit ribosomal RNA", at positions 355 to 896 of the family's 1533-position model. The record is from RNAcentral.